AAAAAAUGCAAUUCUGCUUCUUUAGAGAGCACUGUGACUUACAAAGAGUAAGAAAACUAGAAACUUUUGUUUGGUUUGCCAAUGUAUUGGCAGCAUGAUUGGGACAGAAUCCAGGUCGUGCCCCAGGAGAAAGCUAUUCGUGACACCAUCUCUUCGCACCCUGAAAACAUAUUUAUUAAUUCAGUGUUUGACGUGUGUUUGUAAUUACUGAUGUGUAUUUAUGGGUUUCAGGUGAUUUUUUUAAAUCUUAGAAUCUCUGCCCCUUAUUGAGGGUGGUCUUAAGGUAAUAGGACAUUUACUGAAACAACCUUCUGUACCAAACAUGAUGCCUUCUUUUACCUCCGUGGCUUCCAGCUUCAACCUGUACUCCAUGUUCCUUCCAGACUCUGUGCUCCAUCCACAGCAAACAUUGCAGCUUGCUAAGCAGCCUGUGCUGUUGCUUCUGGGCCUUUGCAUCGGAUGUGGUCCCUGCUUAACAGACCUUCCCUAGCUCUUUGCCUGCACACAAUAUUCAGCUCACCCUUCAAUUCAACGCAGCUAACUCACCUUUUCUUCUCUAACAGCCUCAUCCCCUCCCCUAGAGACUUAUCCACUUCUCUUUGUGCUACACUGGUAUACUAGGCAUUUCUGUCAUUUUUUUUCCUGUAUAACAUCCUCUGAAUGUAGCAUCUAUUUAGUAAUUAUCCUAUUUGAGGAUGGAACUGUCUUUAAAAGAAUCUUCAAGAUAUAUACAACCAAAAAUGGCAAACAGAGUAACACCUACACAAGUUUGGUACAGUGCCAGAAACACAUGCUUUAUUUUUCUGGACAAAUUAAAGAAAUUCACCUUUGGUCACGUCCACUUCUAUAUUUGGACAUUUUCAUGUGGUUUCUGGGUACUUCUCUCUUCUUCAUUCCUCUUGUUUUUUUUCCUGGCUUAUUUUUACAUUAGUAGUUCAAUUUUUAAAGUUCCUGAAACAAAUGCAAAAAGUUGGUAUGGUAUUAUUCAAAGUAUAAGAUCAAUUUGUAGAUCUUAGGAAAUUCUAAUUCUAUGAGUCACUUUACUUCUUCUGUAUGGGUCUCCUUUUAUUCACUUAAACUGUUAAUGUAACAAGAAUUUAUCUACUGAGUGAUUGCACCAAGCACCCUGUCCUUAUUCCUUGCAGGGAAAUAGUAGGAGUGAAGAAUCUCCUUAGUCAUUAUUUUAAAGUAUUUUUUUCAAGUCAGUGAAACUACAACAGUAAUGACAAAGUUAAAAGCAUUUAGAUUACAACUUCAAACAGUGAUUAUAUC
RNAcentral lists this long non-coding RNA (1272 nucleotides) under Homo sapiens (human). RNAcentral describes it as "HSALNT0206676". The record is from RNAcentral. Lineage: Eukaryota; Metazoa; Chordata; Mammalia; Primates; Hominidae.